RNAcentral lists this ribosomal RNA (454 nucleotides) under uncultured bacterium. Its description in RNAcentral is "bacterial SSU rRNA". It matches the Rfam family "Bacterial small subunit ribosomal RNA", at positions 340 to 786 of the family's 1533-position model. The record is from RNAcentral.
UACGGGAGGCAGCAGUGGGGAAUAUUGCACAAUGGGCGCAAGCCUGAUGCAGCCAUGCCGCGUGUAUGAAAAAGGCCUUCGGGUUGUAAAGUACUUUCAGUCGUGAGGAAGGUGUUAAGGUUAAUAACCUUAGCAAUUGACGUUAGCGACAGAAGAAGCACCGGCUAACUCCGUGCCAGCAGCCGCGGUAAUACGGAGGGUGCGAGCGUUAAUCGGAAUUACUGGGCGUAAAGGGCACGCAGGCGGUUAAUUAAGUUGGAUGUGAAAUCCCCGGGCUUAAACCUGGGAAUGGCAUUCAAGACUGGUUAGCUAGAGUCUUGUAGAGGGGGUAGAAUUCCAUGUGUAGCGGUGAAAUGCGUAGAGAUGUGGAGGAAUACCGGUGGCGAAGGCGGCCCCUGGACAAAGACUGACGCUCAUGUGCGAAAGCGUGGGGAGCAAACAGGGAUUAGAUACC